RNAcentral lists this ribosomal RNA (1356 nucleotides) under uncultured bacterium. Its description in RNAcentral is "bacterial SSU rRNA". It matches the Rfam family "Bacterial small subunit ribosomal RNA", at positions 28 to 1394 of the family's 1533-position model. The record is from RNAcentral.
GACGAACGCUGGCGGCGUGCUUAACACAUGCAAGUCGAACGGUGAAGCCCAGCUUGCUGGGCGGAUCAGUGGCGAACGGGUGAGUAACACGUGAGCAACCUGCCCUUCACUUCGGGAUAAGCCUUGGAAACGGGGUCUAAUACCGGAUAGGAGCACCUGCUGCAUGGUGGGUGUUGGAAAGUUUUUCGGUGAGGGAUGGGCUCGCGGCCUAUCAGCUUGUUGGUGGGGUAACGGCCUACCAAGGCGUCGACGGGUAGCCGGCCUGAGAGGGCGACCGGCCACACUGGGACUGAGACACGGCCCAGACUCCUACGGGAGGCAGCAGUGGGGAAUAUUGCACAAUGGGCGAAAGCCUGAUGCAGCGACGCCGCGUGAGGGAUGACGGCCUUCGGGUUGUAAACCUCUUUCAGCAGGGAAGAAGCGCAAGUGACGGUACCUGCAGAAGAAGCGCCGGCUAACUACGUGCCAGCAGCCGCGGUAAUACGUAGGGCGCAAGCGUUGUCCGGAAUUAUUGGGCGUAAAGAGCUCGUAGGCGGUCUGUCGCGUCUGGUGUGAAAUCCCAUGGCUCAACUAUGGGCUUGCAUCGGGUACGGGCAGACUAGAGUGCUGUAGGGGAGACUGGAAUUCCUGGUGUAGCGGUGGAAUGCGCAGAUAUCAGGAGGAACACCGAUGGGCGAAGGCAGGUCUCUGGGGCAGUCACUGACGCUGAGGAGCGAAAGCAUGGGGAGCGAACAGGAUUAGAUACCCUGGUAGUCCAUGCCGUAAACGUUGGGCACUAGGUGUGGGGCCAGUUCCACUGGUUCUGUGCCGUAGCUAACGCAUUAAGUGCCCCGCCUGGGGAGUACGGCCGCAAGGCUAAAACUCAAAGGAAUUGACGGGGGCCCGCACAAGCGGCGGAGCAUGCGGAUUAAUUCGAUGCAACGCGAAGAACCUUACCAAGGCUUGACAUGUACGAGAAAGCCCCAGAGAUGGGGUUCUCUUUGGACACUCGUACACAGGUGGUGCAUGGUUGUCGUCAGCUCGUGUCGUGAGAUGUUGGGUUAAGUCCCGCAACGAGCGCAACCCUUGUCCCAUGUUGCCAGCGGGUUAUGCCGGGGACUCAUGGGAGACUGCCGGGGUCAACUCGGAGGAAGGUGGGGAUGACGUCAAAUCAUCAUGCCCCUUAUGUCUUGGGCUUCACGCAUGCUACAAUGGCCGGUACAGAGGGCUGCGAUACCGUGAGGUGGAGCGAAUCCCAAAAAGCCGGUCUCAGUUCGGAUCGGGGUCUGCAACUCGACCCCGUGAAGUCGGAGUCGCUAGUAAUCGCAGAUCAGCAACGCUGCGGUGAAUACGUUCCCGGGCCUUGUACACACCGCC